UAUAUAUUAAAGGAUGUUGCAAGAAAUAAAGGAAGAACCUACACACUAUUCAUACCAAGGAGGCCGCCCCCAUUCUUUUCCGGAACUUAUCAAAUCAAGUGAGAAAGCGGCGCAUCAAUGUCAAAACAACAUAAUAGAAAAGAAACAUAAAGAGAAGGGGGAAGGGACUUGAUUUUUUGCUUCAGAUUCUUUUUCUUAAAAAACAUCAUUUCAUCUGUUUGCUUUCCUCCCUACCACUUUUUACUACAUACCAUACAUACACUACCCUCCUCUCACUAAAAAAAAUAGAAACAAUAUCACCACCCUCAUCUCUCACGCACACAUGUUAAACCAAUUUCAUUCAUGAUAUUUCUAUAAGCACUUUUAUUUUCACUUGAAAUCUCACUCUCUCUCAAUUUUAAUUGGAAAAUAAAUGAAUGGCAAAAGUGGAUCUGUGAAGAUACAAACACCAUCGUGAAACCGUAAAUCACCGCCUGCCACUACAUGAACAUUAACUACAACCAUAUUUAGUGUAUAGCAUAAAAAAGAGGUCACCCAUGGUGGUAUGGAUCCAAUUCGGUUUUAAGAACUUCCAUCCUGAUUUAAGAUCUCGUAAUUGGUGUUUUAAAAAUUGAUUAUUGUCGUUGAUGAAGUAUCAUGUGUUACUUUGUGUUGCAAUUGUUUUGCUUAAUUUAUGCCUUGCUGGUUUUUUCUUUAUUUUUUAGUUUUGUAAUGAUUCUAUGGUGUAGAUAAUAUUGGGUUGUUAUUUUAUUGUAUUGAAUUUUAAAUUAGAUUUUGGAUCCGUGGAUUCGGCAACUUCAUGUCGUUAUGCCACCUUUUUUUUCAAUACAUUAAUCGAACAUUUCACCGAGUUAUGAUCUUACGAAUGAAAUUAAUUGUAUUGUCA
This is a long non-coding RNA of Lathyrus oleraceus (garden pea), 886 nucleotides long. RefSeq lists it as uncharacterized. The transcript has 2 exons. The record is from RefSeq and is a predicted model, not a curated record. NCBI's taxonomy places the organism in Eukaryota, Viridiplantae, Streptophyta, Magnoliopsida, Fabales, Fabaceae.